AUGUUAGGAUUACUUAGGUAAAUACUCAAUGUUACUUCUCAUGGUCCCAUCUUCUUUUAAAACAGCUGGAAUCUCAAAGACCUCCUGGAGCCUCACAGGGUGUUGCCAAUCAUCUUGGAAAUGCAUGAAUUGCACUUUUGAAGAACUUCCUCUAAUCUUAAUGACUUUGUGAGUCUAAAUGUCUACUACUAGGAUGCGGAGAGUUCUGGGUAAAGUGGCAGAGCAGUUACCACCUGGGUGUGGGGCAGUGUGAAGGAUGCAAGGGCGGGAUCUGUUCUAGCGCUCAGAUGCAGAUGGUGGGAAGGGAGUUCUCAUUGCUGUGUGAUAAUGGAACCCUAGGUGUGAAAUAGAGACCUUGCACUGAUUUCACAACAAACCUACUUGAAAUCUGCUCACAUCCUGGCAAACCAGAAGAAUUCAUAGAAACUCACAUUUGUUAAACAGAGUAGAAAAUAUUUGGAGAUGUGAGCAAAUAGUUCUGCCCGGAAGAUUUUUUUCUUCUUUUUAAGUUGAAAAUGAUAGAGUAAUGAGUUAAUAGAUUAUUUAUAUUGUUUCAAAGGUAAUGAUUUACCUGGGUGAGGAUUCUGUUUGGGGGGACUGCUGGGUUUUCAUUUUUAUGUUCUUGAAAUCAGCCAAUUGGAAAGUCAUGAAAAAGUUGUACCAAGACCUAUAUUUCUUUCGUUUUGAUUAGUUUAGACACAGUCAUUUUCCAGGAAAGUUUUGUUUUCUAAAAAAAUCAGUCCAUCUACUCUGUUCAGAUGCUGUUGUGACCCCAUCUCUGAGUGAGUGUGGGCGGUUGGGGUGGAGUAGGUCAGGUUGGUCCCCUAUUCUGCCGCCCACUGACAGUUUUUCUUCUCUUCCUCAGGGAGCCAACCUUGCCCUUCGGGGCCUUUAUGCCAAACAAGCCUACAUUGUCUGCAUCAAAAGGACAGAAGAUUACAGAAUAAAAACAGAAAAAGGAGAAGAAGAUUUUCAUUUGGAGAAGAAGAGAAUUGAUUCAUCAUGAUUGGACAAUGGUGAAUGAGACUCAGGAGCUGUGUCUGCUUCCUGACUUCUUACUUGACCAGGGAGGAUGUGAAUGGUUGUGUGACGGGGGUUGAGUGACUCUACUGUGGGAACAAUUCCCAGGAAUGAUCUAUCUUCCUCUCUCACUGAGUGUCUACUGUGUAUUUUUAUGGCACUAAUUACUACAUGGGGGCCCUGACAGGUCACAUUAGUCCGGGGAGAACACAAGAAUCAAGGAAAACAUUGUCAUAUCAUUUUCCUGAGGUUUGCUGGUGAAAUUUUGGAACUUCUUUUCCUUUGGACCUCAAAAUAUUAACUGCCAUGUUGUAUUAAUAUAAUGUACUGAUAUUCCUUGGCAUGAUUAAUUUUUUCCUACUAAAUUUGAAGCCUUUGAAAGCUUUGUGUCUUGGGAUCAAGACUAUAGGCCUGUUAUAUUUUUUCUCAGGCUUGCCUAAAAAAUGUUUAAGUAUGAGAAUGAAAUAAUAUUGAUGCUAUCUCUCUAUACACAGAGAUUCAGCUUAGGGGAGAGAUAAAUGUUUGUUCUUAACAACCAGCUCCAAACCAGGACCAAGCACCCCCCGCCCCCCCAUAUACAAAUCACUUCCCACAUUCCCAUAUGAUUGCACACUUGACUAUCACGGUGCUCAGUACUGUGAUUUUUUAAUUUAUUUUAUUAAACAUUUUUUUAAGAUUUUAUUUAUUUAUUCAUGAGAGAGACACACAGACACACACAGAGGCAGAGACAUAGGCAGAGGGAGAAGCAGGCUCCAUGCAGGGAGCCUGACAUGGGACUUGAUCCAGGGUCUCCAGGAUCACACCCUGGGCUGAAGGCGGUGCUAAACCGCUGAGCAACCUGGGCUGCCCAGUACUGUGAUUUUUAAAUUAUUUAUCUGUCUGAGUUUUCUUUCCUGGAUUAUAACUCCAAAAAGUUAGGAAGUUGGUCUUGGAUUUUCACUGUGUCUUCUUCAAACCUCAGUAUAGGGCAAAGCAUAUGGUAAUUGCUUAUUGAAUGAAUCAAUAAUCCAUUGAAUAAUCAUUUUAUUUUGUUCUCACAUUGCUUCUGAACUCGAUCAACAUCAGAGUCAGCCAAAUGCUUUUAUAAGCUAUUUUAAUUCUAUAUCAAGUUACUAAAACUUAAACAAUUUUCUGUUAAAAAAUAAAAUGUUUGUUUUUGCUGUGCUUCUCUUCA
RNAcentral lists this long non-coding RNA (2194 nucleotides) under Vulpes vulpes (red fox). Its description in RNAcentral is "lncRNA (ENSVVUG00000022140.1)". The record is from RNAcentral. Lineage: Eukaryota; Metazoa; Chordata; Mammalia; Carnivora; Canidae.